This is a small nucleolar RNA of Callithrix jacchus (white-tufted-ear marmoset), 133 nucleotides long. Its record names the gene U8. It matches the Rfam family "U8 small nucleolar RNA". Rfam says of the family: U8 is a member of the C/D class of snoRNA which contain the C (UGAUGA) and D (CUGA) box motifs. U8 is the RNA component of a small complex (the U8 snoRNP) which is required for accumulation of mature large subunit ribosomal RNAs, 5.8S and 28S rRNAs. NCBI's taxonomy places the organism in Eukaryota, Metazoa, Chordata, Mammalia, Primates, Cebidae. The record is from Ensembl.
UCAUCAGGUGGCAUAAUCCUUACCUGUUCCUCCUUUGGAAGACAGAUAAAACAUGAUGAUUGAAGAUGCAUGAAAUGUUUCAAAUUUAAUUAUUAAAAAAAAAAAAAAAGACUCAGUUCCUCCUGUAGCUGAA